This 81-nucleotide microRNA precursor is filed under the name Bombyx mandarina (wild silkworm). Its description in RNAcentral is "miRNA-2837". Lineage: Eukaryota; Metazoa; Arthropoda; Insecta; Lepidoptera; Bombycidae. The record is from RNAcentral.
CAAAAUGAAUAGAUGGUACUACGUGGGAAUGAGGCGUUCGCUCCUGGCCUUUUCAUUUCCAUUAUUAUUAUUAGUUUUUUU